AUGCCUCAAAUUCAUUUUUCCUUUGAAUUACUCAUUUUUAAUUUCACACCGGAAACUUUUCUAGGAGAAGUUUGAAUCCGUUCCGUUUGGAUAUUGAUCGGUCUUGGUUUUACAUGGUUUAUGCGUUACUGGUUCCUAGAAGAGUCAAUUUCUCUUUUACCUCAACCCUUUAUUACCCUACCUUUGGACUCGUAUUUUGUUUGUACACAAUCAACGGAGCCCCCCCAACAUAUGUUGCAACAUGUUCAGUAG
RNAcentral lists this ribosomal RNA (252 nucleotides) under Triticum aestivum (bread wheat). RNAcentral's name for it is "partial small subunit ribosomal RNA". The record is from RNAcentral. Lineage: Eukaryota; Viridiplantae; Streptophyta; Magnoliopsida; Poales; Poaceae.